CCCCGAUUCAGAUCCCCUCUCCCCUCUCCCCUCUCCCUCGAUUCAGAUCAGAUCCCCUCUCGCCUCUCCCCCGAUCCAGACCUCGCCGCCGCCACCUACCUCAAGCCCAUCCCGCCGCCCGCGCCCGCGCGCCACCACUCACUCCGCGACUUCCGGCGGCUGUCAGCACACUAUCUGCGCUCCAUCCUUCACUCGGAUCAGAUCCGGCGUGCGCGUCCCCAUCCUCCCUUCCUGCCACUCCUAACCUAGUCUAUCCCCUUCCUCCUCCAGCCCAACGACCACGGCGUCGCGGCUGGCUUGCUCGCCGGAGCGCGCGUGUGUGCUUCGAUGCAAGGCGCUUCGUCGAGCUGGCCGGACCGCGGCAAUCCCCGGAGCCGGAGCCGGAGCCAGCCGCGACGAGAUGUUGCUGCCUCCAUCGUCGACCUCACCAACCUCUCCCCCGCCACCUCCAUCGUCACCCGCCUCCUCAAGCCCAAGGCCAAGCGCAGGAGCCUCGACAGCAGCGCCAGCAGCAUCGGCUCCUCCACUGUCCCCCGCAUCCCGACCCUCUCCGUCUCCAUCUCCGUGCCUAUUGUACUGAUAUGAAAGGUCAAGCAUGGAGGUUUCAAGAGCAUCCCUUUGUCCUGAUUAUCUUUCUGGUGUGCCUGGCAGAACUCUGCAGUUUGCUUGCUUUGGGACAACACGAGAUCUGAUUCCUCUCAAUGUUGAGCGCCAAGGGUCUCAAUGUGGGGUGUGCUACUGCUAUGGUGCCCACAUUUGCUUCCAUUUCUGCUCACAAGCAUAUGCACCUGCACGUCUAGUCUGUGGGCGAUCGAGGAAGGCAUGUUGUCUGUUUUCUUGAAGGCCGUUUUGUUUGUUCCCAGCCCUAACUAUAGUUGUCCAGCUAGUUCGGCAUUUUGUUCAUCUCACCAUGGUAGUCCAAUGAGUUUGUAUUGUUGUGAGUUUGGGGAGCAGGUGCCAGUUUGUGAUUGCUUGUAAAGC
Molecule: ribosomal RNA, 981 nt
Filed under: Triticum aestivum (bread wheat)
Lineage: Eukaryota; Viridiplantae; Streptophyta; Magnoliopsida; Poales; Poaceae
Description: partial small subunit ribosomal RNA
Source: RNAcentral